Oncorhynchus tshawytscha (Chinook salmon) is the source of this 757-nucleotide long non-coding RNA. NCBI's taxonomy places the organism in Eukaryota, Metazoa, Chordata, Actinopteri, Salmoniformes, Salmonidae. The record is from Ensembl.
GCAAGAAGGACCUUGGUCAGGGAGGUGACCAAGAACCCAAUGACCACUCGGACAGAACUACGAAAUUUCUUGGCUGAGAUGGGUGAACCUGCGAAAAGGACAUCUCCGCACAUCACCAGUCAGCUUUAUGGGAGAGUGGCCAGAUGAGAUUGAGACUCUGCAUUGAAGAAUGGGAGAAAUCCAGAUGUGCAAAGCUGAUAGCCAUACCUAAGACACAACUCAAAGCUGUAAUCACUGCCAAAGGAGUUUACACUACAAUCCUGCUGUGCUUUUUGGGAUAAUCAGCCUCUUCUCUGCUGGCCUGUCUUCUGCUUCUGGACACCAUGGAUUGUCAAAUCCAGAUUGUCACAUGGUAGGUCAUAAGUGGGACAUAGUACCAUGGUUCAAACUUGUCUACAGUCAUUGUAAUAUUUGUCAAUGGUUGUCAUGAACUUGAAGUGCAGGUCAACUUCUAUAGACAUGUUUAUGGUCACAGUUAGUGCCAUAUCACUAAUGUCGUGUGCCAUAUGAUUUUGAAAAGGCAGAAUCCAGCUAGCACAUCUUAUUUCCUUGGGAGUUGUGGGAACAUUGGUUGUGGCAAUGAAGCCAUACCUUUCCUAACUGUUAAAAUGGAAUGUUUUUUUAAACAUUCUAAGAACAGAAGUGAAAAUGUUGAGUGUUCUGGGAACAUUCAUUUAUAGGUUUUUGCUAUGGUUCCUUAAGUUUUCCUGGGAGGUUUUAUUAACACUCUGAGAACAGAAAUGAUAGGCUAUUGAGG